This 468-nucleotide ribosomal RNA is filed under the name uncultured bacterium. RNAcentral's name for it is "partial 16S ribosomal RNA". It matches the Rfam family "Bacterial small subunit ribosomal RNA", at positions 28 to 507 of the family's 1533-position model. The record is from RNAcentral.
GACGAACGCUGGCGGCGUGCUUAACACAUGCAAGUCGAACGGAAAGGCCCUGCUUUUGUGGGGUGCUCGAGUGGCGAACGGGUGAGUAACACGUGAGUAACCUGCCCUUGACUUUGGGAUAACUUCAGGAAACUGGGGCUAAUACCGGAUAGGAGCUCCUGCUGCAUGGUGGGGGUUGGAAAGUUUCGGCGGUUGGGGAUGGACUCGCGGCUUAUCAGCUUGUUGGUGUGGUAGUGGCUUACCAAGGCUGUGACGGGUAGCCGGCCUGAGAGGGUGACCGGCGACCUUGGGACUACGAGACGGCCCAGAAGCCUACGGGAGGCAGCAGUCGGGAAUAUUGCAGAAUGGGCGGACGCCUGAUGCAGCAACGCCGCGUGCGGGAUGACGGCCUUCGGGUUGUAAACCGCUUUCGCCUGUGACGAAGCGUGAGUGACGGUAAUGGGUAAAGAAGCACCGGCUAACUACGUG